CCCUUAGAUGUUCUGGGCGGCCCGCGCACUACAAUGGCGUGUGCAGCGAGUGCCGAAGUAGAGUUUUCCGAGGUAUUCUUGCAAUGCUCGUUUUGAUGGGGAUAGACCCUUGCAACUGUUGGUUUUGAACGAGGAAUUCCUUGUAAGCAUGGUUUAUCAUCCGACGCUGAAUGCGUCCCUGCCCUUUGUACACACCGCCCGUCGCUCCUACCGAUUGAACGGUUUAGUGAGGGCCUUGGAUUGGUCUCGGCCCGCUCUUUACCGGGCGGCGCCGUUGGUCGAGAAGACGCUCGAACUUGAUCGUUUAGAGGAAGUAAAAGUCGUAACA
RNAcentral lists this ribosomal RNA (328 nucleotides) under uncultured eukaryote. RNAcentral describes it as "partial 18S ribosomal RNA". It matches the Rfam family "Eukaryotic small subunit ribosomal RNA", at positions 1470 to 1796 of the family's 1831-position model. The record is from RNAcentral.